UGAUACAUCUCACUUAAACAAACACCAUCAACGCUCAAUCUCUCUACUAUCUUCACGGUCUACUUCCAUUUGCCAUUAUUCACUAAUAACCAUGACUUUAUUUAAUGAUAUUUCCUAGAGAAAAUAUUUAGUGCUCUGAAACCAUAGAGAAAAAGGGCAACAGACUCCUACUUUGUAGCUGCGAUUCGAUGCAAAUUAAGUUGUUUGUCUUACAAAUCUAUUUAAUCAAGAAACACCAAAUACUCUCUUUUAUUUGUCAAUUACAAGUUUUUGCAGUCUAUUUCCUUUGGCAACUGACAUAUGCCAUUUCUUUGUUAAGUAUUCUAUCAUAUAUUAAAACAUAAGAGGGAAACAUACACACCCUCUUCUUAGAAAGAAAGUUAACCUAAAUAUAGGACAAUUGGAAGAUGAUCAGAUACCAAUUUGGGUGCUCAAGGGACAAAUUCUAUACCUCUAUAAAUUUUAUUUGGUUUGUUUUAAUCAAACAUGUCAAUUUCAAGCUGUUAUGAAGGAGACAAGCUUGAUGAUCUCUUUAAAACAGGAGCAUAGAGUUAGCAAAAGCUUCGAAAGGGGAGCAAUUGCCAGAUAAAAUUUGGAUGAAGCAACAACUAACGCAACAAUUAGCGAUCGGAGAUAAUGAUGUCACCAAGGUGCUCGAGAGAAUGUCUGAAAGAGAAAAUUUUGCAGAUAAUGAUAGCAUUAAAAGACCACUUAGAAAAGCUCCCUUGGUUCCUC
Long non-coding RNA from Asparagus officinalis (garden asparagus), 735 nucleotides. RefSeq lists it as uncharacterized. The record is from RefSeq and is a predicted model, not a curated record. Lineage: Eukaryota; Viridiplantae; Streptophyta; Magnoliopsida; Asparagales; Asparagaceae. The transcript is spliced from 3 exons.